RNAcentral lists this ribosomal RNA (165 nucleotides) under uncultured bacterium. Its description in RNAcentral is "partial 16S rRNA". It matches the Rfam family "Bacterial small subunit ribosomal RNA", at positions 355 to 511 of the family's 1533-position model. The record is from RNAcentral.
UAGGGAAUCUUCCACAAUGGACGCAAGUUUGAUGGAGCAACGCCGCGUGAGUGAAGAAGGUCUUCGGAUCGUAAAACUCUGUUGUAAGAGAAGAACGUGUGUGAGAGUGGAAAGUUCACACAGUGACGGUAACUUACCAGAAAGGGACGGCUAACUACGUGCCAG